UGGAAGUAGCGAGUAACAGAAAAAGAGCAGAAAGCUAUAAGUAUAAGAGAGAGUUUAUGAACUAAUCUCGUUUUUUUGUUGUUCUGUCCUCCAGAACUUAAAAGAAGUGGAGGUUUAUAUAAUAAUAAAAAGCUUGACAUAUAAGGUAAGAGAUCAAUUAAGUAGUAAAUUAGGGAAGUCACACGUAAAUCAACAAUAUCUUCCCUUAAUCGAGGGAUAGCUCAAUAAAUGGUAGAACAUACUAGUAUUUAAGGAAAAGAAUAAAGUAAAGUUUAGGUAUAGAAUAGGUAAUUAGGGGUAAACGCACAUCAGCUUAAUUAAGGAAACAAAUCAGUAAUAAUCGGCGGAAUACAAACAAGGUAGGGAAAAGCAAUUAAGGUAAACAAUUCAGUCUGAUCGAAUAGAGAUGUAAGAAUGAAGAGUUAAAUGGAAAGGGUUCAAAUUAAACCAAGAAAUAAGGGAUUAAGAGUAAUCAAGGGUUCAUAAAGUCAUGAAAGAGGCAACAUGCUUAACAUAAAAGAUGAGGUAGAGCAUGAAUAGUUAGGAUUUCACACAGGUUUGACAAAGCCCAAAGUUAAAUGACACUGAUUCGAGGAGAAGUAUACAAGUCUUGCAUGAAUGGUCAGUAUGAACACAAGCACCUAACAUCAGUAAAAGGUCGAACUAGCAAAAUUUAGUAGAAGCAAAUUAGGACAAGAAAAUCAUGAGAAGUCACAAUAACCCAAGAUAAGAACACAAUCAGAUGUACCAAUAUCUAGAAACCAAACGAAGAACCCCAAAAUUAGGGUUUUCAGUACAAACAGGAUAGGGUUGUAGCAGGUUAUCAGUCAAAAUAUGUGAGAAGUAGGAGAUUAAACUCAAAAAAUCAUUAAAAAAAUUUUAAAAAGAAAUUUCGGAAACCAUAGUUUUAGGAAAAGAUGAAAAAUCACUUGAAAUCAUACGAUUCUUGUUAAGAAUCUCAAGGCUAUUAUAAAACUCGUAGGAAAUAAACUCACAUGACUUUAGAUCUGUAUAGAUCUAUGAAGAUUUGAAAAGAAAUUAGGGUUUUGAAGUGAACCAUUUAGAGAUGAAGAAAUAUACGAAAAACCCAUAGAUUAGCAAAUAUAGAACGAUCUCACUCGAAAUCAUGCCGGAAUGGCCUGCAACAGGUGAUACAUGAACCCUAGAUGCAAAUUGAUAUAGACCUGGUCCCUUGAGGUCCUUAGAGUUGGCAAGAGUGAUAUGAGCAAGGCCUGAGUGGUGGUGAUAAACCACCAGAUAUAGCCAUAG
RNAcentral lists this long non-coding RNA (1269 nucleotides) under Nicotiana benthamiana. RNAcentral's name for it is "long non-coding RNA (NBEN_LNC003891)". Lineage: Eukaryota; Viridiplantae; Streptophyta; Magnoliopsida; Solanales; Solanaceae. The record is from RNAcentral.